CAUUCUCAGUAAAGGGCCCAAGGAGCUGAGAGGGAACAGAAUAAAGACAGCUGACUUAUGAAAGGGAUAUUCCAUACCAGAUGACAUCAUGUGAAAGGAGUUUUGAAGGGGGCGGGAGUUCAGCUUUCUCUCUUCUGCUGCUCAAGGGGCCAGCUGGAUAUCAGUUGGGGCGUAGCUCUGGGGACAUUGGACCUGGACUCUGGUUGAAGACUCUGCCAUAACCGGGAUGCAGCCAACCAUGGGACUGGUAGUGGCAAAGAGAAAAGGGAUGCAGUGUGGAGGCAGCAGCUAACCAUGAAGAAAAAAGAAUCCCCGAAGACGUCAUUUCUCAGAUUCCCACGGAGCCUGCAGCUUCCCCACAGAA
Long non-coding RNA from Numida meleagris (helmeted guineafowl), 364 nucleotides. RefSeq lists it as uncharacterized. Lineage: Eukaryota; Metazoa; Chordata; Aves; Galliformes; Numididae. The record is from RefSeq and is a predicted model, not a curated record. The transcript has 3 exons.